Molecule: long non-coding RNA, 774 nt
Filed under: Mytilus galloprovincialis (Mediterranean mussel)
Lineage: Eukaryota; Metazoa; Mollusca; Bivalvia; Mytilida; Mytilidae
Source: RNAcentral
UGCAAUAGCUGUUAAUUUGAAGAACUCCGUGCAGGCAGUUUAUCAUCGUUCAUGCUACAAAACUUACACAAGUAAACAUAUUUCUUCCCUCCUUUUAGAGCGAGGAAGCUUCUAGUCUAAUAUUUAAUGACGACAUACAAUUACCUGACUGUUGUCCCUCAGUUUCGGGUAUUUGUAAACGUUCUAGAAUGCAGUCGUUAAACUGGAGCGCUUGUAUAUUUUGUUGCAACAAAACAUUUUAGAAAGAUAAAAAAUUACUCAAGUUUGAAUCAGAUGAGCGUAUUAAAAAUGUUUUAUCCGUGUCAGAUAAAGUUAAAGUUGAAAUAGUUUCCCGUCCAUCUUUUAAACUUCAAUCACUCUGUCAUUUUGGUUGCAUUACAAAUUAUUUGCUAAAAACGUAAAAAAAAAUUCAAACCCGUGGAAGCAGAUAUCUCAAAACACGAUACUGCUUUUAGUAAUUUUAUUUUGGCUAUUGACAAUGAUUUAAUGGUCAUUCCUCAUGACACCGUUACUCGAUAAAUAUAGAUCAUUUCUUCCGGCUGAUUCUAAUUUAAAAUAUUCUACAUGUAAAAUGCAGUCUAAACUAAUUUAUUUCUAUAGAAAUUCAGUUGUCAAACAACUUCAACAAGUUCAAGGCAAAUAUAACAUAAUAUUUAGUAGCAAAAUAACUAUUUAAGAUGCCAUAAAAGCUUCUAGUCAAUUGAAAACUGACCUCAAAAUCUCAAUGUCAACUGUAAUAGACACAAAUAACGGACAGAUAUUUCAUUCCGCUGC